UACGAAGGGUGCAAGCGUUACUCGGAAUUACUGGGCGUAAAGCGUGCGUAGGCGGUUUGUUAAGUCUGUCGUGAAAGCCCUGGGCUCAACCUGGGAACUGCAUUGGUGACUGGCAGGCUUUGAGUGUGGCAGAGGGAGGUAGAAUUCCACGUGUAGCAGUGAAAUGCGUAGAGAUGUGGAGGAACACCAGUGGCGAAGGCGACUCUUUGGCCUGUAACUGACACUGAGGCGCGAAAGCGUGGGGAGCAAACAGG
This 254-nucleotide ribosomal RNA is filed under the name uncultured bacterium. Its description in RNAcentral is "partial 16S ribosomal RNA". It matches the Rfam family "Bacterial small subunit ribosomal RNA", at positions 524 to 776 of the family's 1533-position model. The record is from RNAcentral.